CCAGACUCCUACGGGAGGCAGCAGUGAGGAAUAUUGGUCAAUGGGCGAGAGCCUGAACCAGCCAAGUAGCGUGCAGGACGACGGCCCUAUGGGUUGUAAACUGCUUUUUAAGGUGAAUAAAGAGGGGCACGCGUGCCCUGUUGCAUGUAGCCUUGGAAUAAGGACCGGCUAAUUCCGUGCCAGCAGCCGCGGUAAUACGGAAGGUCCGGGUGUUAUCCGGAUUUAUUGGGUUUAAAGGGAGCGUAGGCCGCAGGUUAAGUGUGUUGUGAAAAGCAGUCGCCCAACGUCUGCCUUGCAGCGCAAACUGUCCUGCUUGAGUGCGCACAACGCAGGCGGAAUUCGUCGUGUAGCGGUGAAAUGCUUAGAUAUGACGAAGAACUCCGAUUGCGAAGGCAGCUUGCGGGAGCGCAACUGACGCUGAAGCUCGAAAGUGCGGGUAUCGAACAGGAUUAGAUACCCUGGUAGUCCGCACGGUAAACGCUGGAUGCCCGUUUUUGGCUUAUUUUAAGUCAGAGACCAAGCGAAAGCAUUAAGCAUCCCACCUGGGGAGUACGCCGGCAACGGUGAAACUCAAAGGAAUUGACGGGGCCCGCACAAG
RNAcentral lists this ribosomal RNA (598 nucleotides) under uncultured bacterium. Its description in RNAcentral is "bacterial SSU rRNA". It matches the Rfam family "Bacterial small subunit ribosomal RNA", at positions 331 to 929 of the family's 1533-position model. The record is from RNAcentral.